RNAcentral lists this transfer RNA (64 nucleotides) under Tritoma metasobrina. RNAcentral's name for it is "tRNA-Glu". Lineage: Eukaryota; Metazoa; Arthropoda; Insecta; Coleoptera; Erotylidae. The record is from RNAcentral.
AUUUACAUAGUUUAAUAAAAACAUUAUAUUUUCAUUAUAAAAUUGGAAAAAAUUCCUAUAAAUA